Astatotilapia calliptera (eastern happy) is the source of this 3303-nucleotide long non-coding RNA. The record is from Ensembl. Lineage: Eukaryota; Metazoa; Chordata; Actinopteri; Cichliformes; Cichlidae.
CUCGCCGAGUGGGUCUGGGAGUUUGGAGACGGCAGUGGGGGCGGAAGCUGCUGGGGCCGUCCCGAAGCCUUCCAAGGGGCGGAUGCCGUCGGGGGCGGAAGCUCCUGUCGCCAUUCAGUCUCCUGUAUUUGACCCGGCUGGCCAGGUUGGGGCGGGUUUGGUGACGGAGGAUCUCAGGCUUGCCCUUCGCUUGAAGGAGGUGGAGUUGGCGGCUAAGGCUAAGGAAGUCGAGCUCAUGCAUCUCCGCAUUCGAGCUAUGGAGCUUGAUCGUUCUCGAGCGAGUGACGCUGCUCCCGUUCCUGUAAGUACACUCCCCGACACUCCCACCAUAGACCAGUUUAACGCUAGCAAACAGAUUGUUUUGGUACCUCCUUUUAGGGAAGGAGAGGUUGACUCAUAUUUCACUGCUUUUGAGCGCAUCGCAACCACUUUAAAAUGGCCAAAGGACGUCUGGAGUCUGUUGCUGCAAUGCAAAUUAAUAGGAAGAGCGCAGGAGGUCUGUGCGAGUCUUUCUGUUGCGGACAGCUUGGAUUAUGAGGUUGUCAAAUCCACUAUUUUGCGGGCUUAUGAACUUGUCCCAGGGGCGUAUCGACAGAAGUUUCGUGCCUGUCGCAAGCUUGAUAGUCAAACGUUUGUGGAAUUUGCACGUGAGAAAACUGUCUUAUUUGACAAGUGGGUGGCUGCCAGUCACGCGGAGGACUUAACUCAGCUAAAGGAGUUGAUCCUGCUGGAAGAGUUCAAGACAUGUCUCCCUGAAAACAUUGUCGUGUAUCUUAAUGAGCAGAAGGUUGGGUUACUGUCUAAAGCCGCGGUCCUUGCCGACGAGUUUGUGUUAACUUAAAGAGAGAGAGAGAGAGUGUGGAGCCAUCGCAGUCCUGACCCUGGUUUUCCCAGCCUGUGUUUAUCUUGUGUAUUUGUGGGAGUGUGAAUUGUAAAAGCCGCUCCUAGUGCAUUAGCUGAGAGCUUAGGCACUCGUGGGCUGAAGCGGAAGGGGUGAGCUGCCUUUUCUUUUGGAAUCGUUUUCUCCUGUUUUCUUGGUCAGGGAGCGAGGGAUAGCUCUGGCAUUUGUUUGUUCUUUUUUCUUUCUUAGGGUUUAGUUAGUCUUUUCUGGUCGGACUUAGUUGGUUUUGUUUAUUAUUUUGGCCUGGGCUCACCCUGGAGCUAUGCUUCUUGUCCUUAAAUAAAAUCACUUUUUUUUACUCACAACUGGUUUGGAUGUUUGGCUUGGGAACCAGGGCGGGGAUUUGUCUCUCUCUCCUCCAACCUUAUGUGCGUCCCUACCCACCUAGACUAGGGGCGUAACAGGUACAUUGACAAAAACAUAUACUUUUAUUCACAGAAUAAAACAGUUGUUUUGUAUCACUAAUUGCCCAGUACGAUUACAACAUACAAUAUUAUUGUCACUGCUACAUUUCUGUGAUGCUACCAGAGAUUAUUUCCACUACUAAUUAAUUACCGUUGAGCUCAAAGGUUAUAUUAAUAAACGGUUAACGAAUGUGUAUUUAUGACGACGAUUUGUGAGACUGGUAAACUUACCUUUGUUCGUACGAUGGUCUUUCGUUCUACACGGUGCAUUUCAAGGUCCUGCACCCAUCCGUCGGUAAACUGUACCUGGGCUUGUUGCAGUGACCUGAAGUUACUAAACUUCAUGAGUGUAUGCACUCACUCCAAGAACCGUAUAAUUAUAAAUCUGAGCGUGGUGAAAGUUGGGCAACACGCUAACGUCUUUUGUCCACUCUGUGUGCUCCUAAGGGUCUGACCCUUUCACUCCUUUGAUUUUUCCUCGCAUCUUUUCUUUGUCUUUUCGUCGAGUCUGUCUUUGUACGGACCGGCAUUGUUCUCCUUUUGUUUUGUACAUACCUUUUUUGUGCGCCAAAGAAAAAGCAAGAAGGUAUUGGAACCGGAGAAUGAACGUUUUGCGGUGCUGCAAAUGCUUGCAUUUGAUGCGGUACUUGGAUUGUUUUGCCACUAGUUCCCGGCAUGCAAUGCGCGAAAACGUGAUUGCUAAACAAGGGGGAGGGUCCAUCCGGCCUCCUCGGCUGUAAUUGGUCCAGCCCAGAGUCGAUCAUGACCAAUUGGCCAAUCCAACACCUUUCAUUAUAUAUACCCUUCCUAAAAAAAAAAAAAAAAAAAAAAAAAUCCAUCGGCCCAUAAAAACAUCGGCCCACUGGGCAAGGAUACUUUCUGUAAUCAAAUCACCAAGCUUCCAGUCGAUGAUGAUGCAUGAGUCUUUAUGUGUUUCCGUGUGUUUGAAUGUGUCUAAUUAUGCUGUGUUGAACUUAAUGAAUCAGAGGUGGAUGUCAUUUGAUCUUUGGAGGACACUAUUGCUUACUCAUGCAUAUCACACAUGUAUAGUCAUAACUGACCCCUGAUCUCCUGACUGUUCUUCAGACCUGAUUCUGGGAUCUUACUUGAUGGUGUGCAAAUAGCAUGAGACAAUAUAUACAGCAAAUAUAUAGCUCUGUUUUGUAGUUUUUGGCAAAGUGUGUGUUUCCUAAUUCUUGUGGCGCUAACAACAAAUAUGGUCGUGAGUUUGUCCACAAUAUCCACAGUGGCCCACAGCGCUGCUGAGACCUUCUGCCAGUUAGUUUCCAAGAAAUAUCUUUGCAAUUCUACACAGGAAAUAAAGACCUCAUUAUUAAUGAAACUCUUCUUUUUGGUUGUUUUUUCCAACCUGAUUGAUUUUUUGUGGCUUUUCUUGUGCAGAGAGUGAUGAGCUGCAGUCUGCUCAGCAGUGAGAACAGAAGAUGUCAGCUGAUACGGAUGAAUAUCACCAAAGAGAAGAGAGGCUGAAAGAGUUUCUACCAGAGCCAAAUGUCAUCGACUCCUCACUGAAGUCGUCCACCAGUCCAACCACUGGGAUCCAGCUGCUGCUCUCUAACUGGUCCACACAGCAGCUCAGACCUGACACAUUUACUGUAAACACACUGGUUUAUAUUCUGUUUGUUCUCCUCAUGAAAGAAACCUCACACAACCUCUGAGGGCAGAAAGUUCAAAUGGAGAGUUUUUGUUAUUUUCUUUUAUAAAGAAGCUGGAAAAAUUUAACUUUCUUAAUUUAGUUUUUAAAUUUUUUAUAUAAAAAAGAAAAAUUUUCUUCAUCAGGCCUUUCAGAAUAAAAGCAUGACCAAGACGUAAUUUAUACAUAAACAAUAAUAAAUGUUAUGUAACUAAAUUGUAGAUGUAAUCCAUGUUUUCAUGUCUUCAGUAACUUUGCUGUUAUUUAUGUUAUUUCUAAGUGUGCUGUUGUCUCCACAGCAGUGAUCUGGUUUCUCUGCAGGUUCAAUAAACUUUGGUCUCACUUGA